UACGGAGGGGGCUAGCGUUGUUCGGAAUUACUGGGCGUAAAGCGCACGUAGGCGGCUUUGUAAGUUAGAGGUGAAAGCCCGGGGCUCAACUCCGGAAUUGCCUUUAAGACUGCAUCGCUAGAAUUGUGGAGAGGUAAGUGGAAUUCCGAGUGUAGAGGUGAAAUUCGUAGAUAUUCGGAAGAACACCAGUGGCGAAGGCGACUUACUGGACACAUAUUGACGCUGAGGUGUGAAAGCGUGGGGAGCAAACAGG
Molecule: ribosomal RNA, 253 nt
Filed under: uncultured bacterium
Lineage: Bacteria
Description: partial 16S ribosomal RNA
Rfam family: Bacterial small subunit ribosomal RNA
Source: RNAcentral